GCUCACGGCCAUACUACUCUAGAACCACCCGAUCUCGUCUGAUCUCAGGAGCUAAGCAGAGUCGGGCCUGGUUAGUACUUGGAUGGGUCCGCCUGGCAAUACCAGGUGCUGUAUUGC
Parambassis ranga (Indian glassy fish) is the source of this 117-nucleotide ribosomal RNA. NCBI's taxonomy places the organism in Eukaryota, Metazoa, Chordata, Actinopteri, Ambassidae. The record is from Ensembl.